Molecule: non-coding RNA, 1261 nt
Organism: Camellia sinensis
Lineage: Eukaryota; Viridiplantae; Streptophyta; Magnoliopsida; Ericales; Theaceae
Source: RefSeq, a predicted model, not a curated record
GCGACAACUCUGUCCUGCUUCACCGUGAGUUUGCCUCUUGCCGCCGCCGACUCACCAUUCUUUCCAACGGGUUCAUGGUUGAUUUUCUUUUUUGAUGUUUUCUUCACCGGCGCUGGGUUGUUGCCAUAGCGCCGCUACCUUGCUGUUGGCAAGCUUGUAUCGCUGGUUUCCAGCUUCGUUUCUUGGCUUCGACUUGAUUUUGGUUGUUCAUCAUUAAUUGCAGGGGCAACUUUAUUUUGAUCCUGUCGGUCUUGCUGUUGUGGGCUUCACACGACAUUCAUUGCUUAGUGGUCGUCAUUGUUUCGUAGCUUGCAGCAUUAGCUUGAUAUUGUUUGGCUUGACUCCGACAUUUGUUUGAUGCCCUAAUUUCAGCAUUAUGCUUCUCAGACGAGAAGGCAUAUGAACAAAGAACAUCCGACCAACCUUGAGACUGCCUUCGCGUACCCCAACCGAACCAUGACAGAGUUGCUUGGAUACGUAACCACUAACAAGCAUAAGCUUAACAAGAGGAGGGUUCACGUGAUUGAUUACGUUAAGGGGUCCUUGGAAAGGUCAGUCGAGCAACAAGCUUGCAACAACACCGGUGCUUCUACUUUUGCUGUUGUUCGAUCAUCAAGCGGAACUACGAGUGAGGACCCUUUUCCUGACGAGCAAGAAGCCAUGACUCACCAAAAGCUUGACCUUGCAGCUCUAGUUUACGGUACAGACCCUGUUGCUGAAGUGGCUGCUAUGACUAUACAACUGGCCAAGCAAAGAGUCUCAGUUCCGAAGCAAUCUAUGUAGAUUACCGAGGAGGUUCUGAUUCCUAUUCUACCUACCACCACUCAAACUAAAGCACCGAAGGCAUCCAAGUGGAAGAGGGAUAAGGGAAAAGAUGUUGUUGAGGGCUUUGAGGAGCUGACUUCGGUUGAGGAGUGGCUGCCGCCUUUGGAGCAUGAGGGUCACCCUAUCACUAUGUCCGACAAUGUGACAGCUUCUCGUGAGUUGGCUUUCAAUCUAUUCAAGUGUUUUAUCGUGGUCUUUGACAAUUGGGCCAACAGUUUCAUGUUAUGGAGCAACGCCGCUUGGAGCAAAUAGUAGACUGCGACCAAACUACGAAGGUGCUAGUUGAUGCUGACCUUGCUCUAAAGUCAACCGAGGAGGAGACCGUCGCUGCUAAGAUGUUAGUCAUUGCUUAGGAGAAGGUGGUGUUGGAGGCUGAGAGAGUUUCUAAGGUGGCUCUGGACACCAAGAAAGAGGUUGAAUAGGGAAGGACUGAAAU